GACGAACGCUGGCGGCGUGCUUAACACAUGCAAGUCGAACGGUGAAGCGCCUUCCUUUUUGGUGGGUGUGGAUGAGUGGCGAACGGGUGAGUAACACGUGAGUAACCUGCCCCCUUCUUCUGGAUAACCGCAUGAAAGUGUGGCUAAUACGGGAUAUUCUGGGUCUGUCGCAUGAUGGGUCUGGGAAAGAUAUUGUUUCGGUGGGGGAUGGGCUCGCGGCCUAUCAGCUUGUUGGUGGGGUGAUGGCCUACCAAGGCGGUGACGGGUAGCCGGCCUGAGAGGGUGGACGGUCACACUGGGACUGAGACACGGCCCAGACUCCUACGGGAGGCAGCAGUGGGGAAUAUUGCACAAUGGGCGCAAGCCUGAUGCAGCGACGCCGCGUGAGGGAUGGAGGCCUGCGGGUUGUGAACCUCCUUCGCCAGUGAAGCAGGCCUGCCUCGUUUGUGGGUGGGUUGACGGUAGCUGGAUAAGAAGCGCCGGCUAACUACGUG
Molecule: ribosomal RNA, 494 nt
Filed under: uncultured bacterium
Lineage: Bacteria
Description: partial 16S ribosomal RNA
Rfam family: Bacterial small subunit ribosomal RNA
Source: RNAcentral